Molecule: non-coding RNA, 74 nt
Organism: Perkinsus marinus ATCC 50983
Lineage: Eukaryota; Perkinsozoa; Perkinsida; Perkinsidae
Source: Rfam
GCUCUGGUGGCUCAAUCGGAUAGAGCGUUGGACUUCUAAUCCAAAGGUUGCGGGUUCAAGUCCCGCCCAGAUUA